CAGCUGAAGGCCUAGAGUCCAAGGCAGUGUCCUCCACGAGUCCAGCCAGUGGCCCAGAGCCCACGGCAAGGUCUCAUGCUUGUGUGUAUUGAGGAUCUGCACCUGAAGGCCCAAAGGCCAGUGGUGGAAGACAGAAAACCUCCACCGGUGAGAUGAUUUGUGCCACCAGGCUGAGGGAUCCAUGCCGGAGCCAGAAAGUGAGGCUCACAGUGAAGAUCAGAGCUCCCCUGACCAGAACAGCAGCCACCCAAGCUCCUCCUCUGAUGAGAACACCCAGCUCCCAUCAGGAAAAUCAGCCUCAGCAAGCUUCUCCUAGAAAUCAACAGCCCUGAUCUUCCCCUCUAGUCCUCUUUUUAUGCCGUUGGCAACAGUCCUAAGGUCUCUGUAGGAACUGUCCCCAGUGAGGAAAAAUUGCAAAGUAGGAAACCAGACACCACGCCGUCACGUGCCGUGAAGCCAGUCAGCAUCUCUCCUCAUCCAGCAUGGAGCUGUACGUCUGACCUGGCAGACGGGGCUCAGGCAAGGGUCUUGAAGCCAAGCAGAGCAGAUACAGGAAACGAGAGGAGAGGCGAGGGAAGAGAGCUGUGCAUUCUGACACCCCGACAACAGUUUCUGCUACUGUGUCCCCUGCAGUUGGCGACAACUGGGACGCCUCUGUCUCCUGGUGUGGGCACUGUCUUCAGCACCACAUCGAAUGCUUAGCCCUGCCAGGGUAACGCCCUCACUCCACAGUAGAGAAGGCUGGCGCCAGAGUGGGUCAGCGGAGUGCUCAGUGGCAUGGUGGUCCAUGUGCCAACCAGCUGCCCACGGUGCCACGUGGGUUCCUGAGCUGGGGCUCAGCGGGUCCUGGAGCUGUGAUCACGGGCUGUAUUCCUUUCAGGAAAGGGCUUUCCGAAGGGUGUGGUCUGGAACCCGACCUUCUCUGAGUCCUGUCUGCGGAUGGCUGGGAAGGCAGGGUGGGGUGGGUCCACUCAAACUUUGUCACAGAUGUCGCCUGCCUGCCUGCAAGUGCCUUUGUCUGGAGAAAAGAUUAUUAAAGAGCUUUAAAUUCCCCACAGAACACAGCGAGAUGUGUGUGAGAUGCACAUGGCCCUGCGGUUGUUUGUCUCAUGUAUCUUUAACUGUAUUUGGUUAUUUUUGUUGUUACAAUCAAG
This 1154-nucleotide long non-coding RNA is filed under the name Heterocephalus glaber (naked mole-rat). Its description in RNAcentral is "lncRNA (ENSHGLG00000040043.1)". The record is from RNAcentral. Lineage: Eukaryota; Metazoa; Chordata; Mammalia; Rodentia; Bathyergidae.